This 451-nucleotide ribosomal RNA is filed under the name uncultured bacterium. Its description in RNAcentral is "partial 16S ribosomal RNA". It matches the Rfam family "Bacterial small subunit ribosomal RNA", at positions 29 to 523 of the family's 1533-position model. The record is from RNAcentral.
AACGAACGCUGGCGGCAGGCCUAACACAUGCAAGUCGAACGGAUGUAGCAAUACAUUAGUGGCGCACGGGUGCGUAACACGUGGGAAUGUACCCUCUGGUAAGGAAUAAUAUUUGGAAACGAAUACUAAUACCUUAUAAUAUCUUCGGAUCAAAGAUUUAUCGCCAGAGGAUCAGCCCGCGUCUGAUUAGCUGGUUGGGGAGGUAAUGGCUCACCAAGGCGACGAUCAGUAGCUGGUCUGAGAGGAUGAUCAGCCACACUGGGACUGAGACACGGCCCAGACUCCUACGGGAGGCAGCAGUGAGGAAUAUUGCGCAAUGGAGGAAACUCUGACGCAGCCAUGCCGCGUGAGUGAAGAAGGCCUUAGGGUUGUAAAGCUCUUUCAAUGGUGAAGAUAAUGACGGUAGCCAUAGAAGAAGCCCCGGCUAAAUUCGUGCCAGCCGCCGCAGUAA